Arabidopsis lyrata subsp. lyrata is the source of this 376-nucleotide long non-coding RNA. RefSeq lists it as uncharacterized. The record is from RefSeq and is a predicted model, not a curated record. NCBI's taxonomy places the organism in Eukaryota, Viridiplantae, Streptophyta, Magnoliopsida, Brassicales, Brassicaceae. The transcript has 3 exons.
AUACCGAUCGUGAAGUUUCGAUAAAAACGAGUUUAGACAAACGAGUUGCUGAAGUAAAAAAGAAAGUAUGAUAAGGACGAGACUCGAGAGUUGGAAAGAUAUUCGAAGUAGGAUACAUGGAAAAAGAAAAGCAGAACCACAAAAAACACGAAGCUUCAAGAUAAAGCAAUUGAUGAAGACAAUAGUGUAGACACAAGAUGUAAUAUAUUGAAAAUAAAUCUUCGUCUAUAACAAUGAAAAAAAGAGAAACACAAGGAAUAAGGUAAUCUUUCACGUUCAUUGUUUCUGAAAUUCUAUUAGUUUAUCGAUUUUACAGUUAUUUGAAGAGACUCGGCCACGCCAUUAUCAAUCGGAUUGGUUAGCCUAAAUAGAUAGU